UGGGGAAUAUUGCACAAUGGGGGAAACCCUGAUGCAGCGACGCCGCGUGAACGAAGAAGGUAUUCGUAUCGUAAAGUUCUGUCCUAUGGGAAGAUAAUGACAGUACCAUAGAAGAAAGCUCCGGCUAAAUACGUGCCAGCAGCCGCGCUAAUACGUAUGGAGCGAGCGUUGUCCGGAAUUAUUGGGCGUAAAGGGUACGCAGGCGGUUUAAUAAGUCGAAUGUUAAAGAUCGGGGCUCAACCCCGCAAAGCAUUGGAAACUGAUAAACUUGAGUAGUGGAGAGGAAAGUGGAAUUCCUAGUGUAGUGGUGAAAUACGUAGAUAUUAGGAGGAAUACCAGUAGCGAAGGCGACUUUCUGGACACAAACUGACGCUGAGGUACGAAAGCGUGGGGAGCAAACAGG
RNAcentral lists this ribosomal RNA (403 nucleotides) under bacterium. RNAcentral's name for it is "partial 16S ribosomal RNA". It matches the Rfam family "Bacterial small subunit ribosomal RNA", at positions 355 to 776 of the family's 1533-position model. The record is from RNAcentral.